Camelina sativa (false flax) is the source of this 1861-nucleotide non-coding RNA. NCBI's taxonomy places the organism in Eukaryota, Viridiplantae, Streptophyta, Magnoliopsida, Brassicales, Brassicaceae. The record is from RefSeq and is a predicted model, not a curated record.
UCUAUCUCUUCCAUCAGCUCAUCUAUGGCGGAUCUUCAGGUGAUUUAAGUUGGUAGCUCUACAGUUGUUGUUGUUGUUCUGCCUCAGCACGAUUAUCACAAAAUGUCUUUAGAUCAUAAGCUCAAGAAAAGGGUGAAGCUUUCAUCACUUAGCAGCUCCAAUUCUUCUUAUAAAGGAAGGAGUAGAUCCACUACUCAACGCAGUGAUGAUGAUGACACUAACUCUCGGAAGACUACGGUUUCGUAUUUGAAGAAGAAGAAGAAGAGGGUCUACCCCAAUAACCAUGUGAACGAAACCCCACGCACGAUGUGGGCGGCUGCACCAAAGAGAAACCAACGGUCUGCUUCGACCUCUAUUAACGACGAUGAUGCAACAAGUGUGUUUAAAACAAAGUUGCCGAGGGGAGAUGAUGCUACUCGAAAGAGCCACAAAAAGAGCGAUGAAUUGGAUGGUAGACGAAGGAGAAGCUCGGAUGUGCCGGCUGCCGCUUUUAAGGCUAGGAAACAAGCGCUUUCAGAUAAGAGAGUCGUCGUGGGAGAUGGUUCAGAUAGUCAAGAGGAUAAACCAAGGAAGAGAAAAAGGAUACGAUUAGACCGCUAUGAUACCUCAAAUAAAAGAAUAGAUGAUGAUGCCGUUCUUGAUGAUGUCCAUGGAGUAAAGAACAAGAAAGACGCAGUGAAAAGUGUAGAAAUGUCCAAAAAUGCUCAGUUUCGGGCAAUUCAGCCUAGUCAUUCCAUCCUUUCCUAUGUGGAAGAAAAUCUGCUGGGGCGUAGACGUUUAAUUGAGCUAAAUAGGGCCGGCUACAACACAGAGCUUCCUGCUCCCUUAGAUAAUAUUCCUCAGUCAACCAGCACUGAGAGAGAACGUAUAGAAGAAAGUGUAUUUAGGAAUAAGUUGGAAUUCUUUGCUGCUGCUAAUGUUUCUUCUUCAUUUCCACCGCCUGAUGUACCUGAGAUUGCAUUUGCAGGAAGGUCAAAUGUUGGCAAAUCGUCUCUGCUAAAUGCUCUUACCAGACAGUGGGGUGUUGUAAGAACAUCUGACAAACCAGGACUGACCCAGACCAUCAAUUUCUUCGAUCUUGGUUCCAAGGUUCGCCUUGUUGAUUUACCAGGCUACGGCUUUGCGUUUGCAAAAGAUGAAGUUAAGGAAGCAUGGGAAGAUCUUGUAAAGGAAUAUGUUUCAACAAGAAUUGGUCUUAAACGGGUGUGCCUCCUUGUUGACACAAAAUGGGGUAUGAAGCCAAGAGACCAGGAACUUAUUAAUCUGAUGGAGAGAUCGAAUACAAAGUAUCAGAUAGUCUUAACCAAGACGGAUGUGGUGUUUCCAAUGGAUGUGGCACGUCGGGCAAUGCAAAUCGAAGAGGUCAUAGUCAUUCUACUCUUAAGUGAAUAUACCGAAGGCAAAAAUAAAAUAAUAUUGGUCAUGUUCUUACUAAUAUCAACAUUUAUUUUCUUAAAAAAUGCAGAAGUUGAAAGCCAACAGAUUAAUUGUCCAGCCUCUGAUGAUGGUGAGCUCAAGGUCAGGAGCAGGCAUAGGAAGUUUAAGAACUGCCCUUGCUAGAAUUGCUAAGUUUGCAAAGUUCUAGCCAUCUAGGUUCUCGAAAACAUGAAAGCAUUUCCCAAAGUCCAUCAGAGACAGAGAAUCGAACGUUUGUAUGGCGAAAUAAGGUGGAAGAAUGAAAGAUUAUGUGUUGUGGAAGAAGAGACGGGAGGAGUCAAAAAGACAGUGAAUGGUGUGAUGAUGAUCCCACAGUGAAAACUCUCAACAAUCACUUGUGAUUUUUUAAUUUCUUUAUUAUCCUUUUUGUUUGUCAAAGCCAUCGUUUAGAAGAAAAUGAGAGCAUAAAAUGGUUUUUCACGUU